AGAGUUUGAUCAUGGCUCAGGACGAACGCUGGCGGCGUGCUUAAGACAUGCAAGUCGAACGGAGAAACUAGAAAGCUUGCUUUUGAAAUUUCUUAGUGGCGGACGGGUGAGUAACGCGUGAGCAACCUGCCUUACACAUCGGGACAACAGCUGGAAACGGCUGCUAAUACCGGAUAUGACCACAGCUGGGCAUCCAGCAGGGGUGAAAGGGUUUACUGGUGUAAGAUGGGCUCGCGUCUGAUUAGCUUGUUGGUGGGGUAACGGCCUACCAAGGCGACGAUCAGUAGCCGGCCUGAGAGGGUGAUCGGCCACAUUGGGACUGAGACACGGCCCAAACUCCUACGGGAGGCAGCAGUCGGGAAUAUUGGACAAUGGAGGAAACUCUGAUCCAGCAACGCCGCGUGAAGGAUGAAGGUCUUCGGAUUGUAAACUUCUGUUCUAAGGGAAGAAACAAAUGACGGUACCUUAGGAGCAAGCCCCGGGCUAACUACGUGCCAGCAGCCGCGGUGAUACGUAGGGGGGCAACCGUUGUCCGGAAUGCCUGGGCGUAAAGGGUGUGUAGGCGGCUUGUUAAGUAAAAUGGAAAUCCCGGGGCUUAACCCCGGACUGCUUUUUAAAU
RNAcentral lists this ribosomal RNA (619 nucleotides) under uncultured bacterium. Its description in RNAcentral is "bacterial SSU rRNA". It matches the Rfam family "Bacterial small subunit ribosomal RNA", at positions 8 to 633 of the family's 1533-position model. The record is from RNAcentral.